Mytilus californianus (California mussel) is the source of this 253-nucleotide long non-coding RNA. RefSeq lists it as uncharacterized. NCBI's taxonomy places the organism in Eukaryota, Metazoa, Mollusca, Bivalvia, Mytilida, Mytilidae. The transcript is spliced from 3 exons. The record is from RefSeq and is a predicted model, not a curated record.
UCACCAUCACUUUCUGCAUGCUAAUAUUGUUAAAAAGCAUUUGCAAAGAGAACAUUGAGAAGUAAUCCACUUAUAAUUAAAGUGAAGUAACCUAUUCUAAGGUUGCAUAUUGGAACAGCAAAAAAGGACACAAAAAAGACUACGAAAAUAUGACCUUACACUGCAAGAAUUUGAAGAUGAUUUGAAGAGUGGUGAUCUAAAAAUAAUUAACUAAUUUCAAGUAACAGACUACAGAAGAAAAGUGCCAUUUCAU